AGAGUUUGAUCCUGGCUCAGAACGAACGCUGGCGGCAUGCCUAACACAUGCAAGUCGAACGAACCCUUCGGGGUUAGUGGCGCACGGGUGCGUAACGCGUGGGAACGUACCUUUUGGUUCGGAACAACCCAGGGAAACUUGGGCUAAUACCGGAUAAGCCCUUACGGGGAAAGAUUUAUCGCCGAAAGAUCGGCCCGCGUCUGAUUAGCUUGUUGGUGAGGUAAUGGCUCACCAAGGCGAUGAUCAGUAGCUGGUCUGAGAGGAUGAUCAGCCACAUUGGGACUGAGACACGGCCCAAACUCCUACGGGAGGCAGCAGUGGGGAAUAUUGGACAAUGGGCGCAAGCCUGAUCCAGCCAUGCCGCGUGAGUGAUGAAGGCCCUAGGGUUGUAAAGCUCUUUUGUGCGGGAAGAUAAUGACGUACCGCAAGAAUAA
RNAcentral lists this ribosomal RNA (434 nucleotides) under uncultured bacterium. Its description in RNAcentral is "bacterial SSU rRNA". It matches the Rfam family "Bacterial small subunit ribosomal RNA", at positions 8 to 489 of the family's 1533-position model. The record is from RNAcentral.